RNAcentral lists this ribosomal RNA (465 nucleotides) under uncultured Klebsiella sp. RNAcentral describes it as "bacterial SSU rRNA". It matches the Rfam family "Bacterial small subunit ribosomal RNA", at positions 338 to 795 of the family's 1533-position model. Lineage: Bacteria; Pseudomonadati; Pseudomonadota; Gammaproteobacteria; Enterobacterales; Enterobacteriaceae. The record is from RNAcentral.
CCUACGGGAGGCUGCAGUGGGGAAUAUUGCACAAUGGGCGCAAGCCUGAUGCAGCCAUGCCGCGUGUGUGAAGAAGGCCUUCGGGUUGUAAAGCACUUUCAGCGGGGAGGAAGGCGUUAAGGUUAAUAACCUUGUCGAUUGACGUUACCCGCAGAAGAAGCACCGGCUAACUCCGUGCCAGCAGCCGCGGUAAUACGGAGGGUGCAAGCGUUAAUCGGAAUUACUGGGCGUAAAGCGCACGCAGGCGGUCUGUCAAGUCGGAUGUGAAAUCCCCGGGCUCAACCUGGGAACUGCAUUCGAAACUGGCAGGCUAGAGUCUUGUAGAGGGGGGUAGAAUUCCAGGUGUAGCGGUGAAAUGCGUAGAGAUCUGGAGGAAUACCGAUGGCGAAGGCAGCCAUCUGGCCUAAUACUGACACUGAGGUGCGAAAGCAUGGGGAGCAAACAGGAUUAGAUACCCGGGUAGUC